CGGUGAAUACGUUCCCGGACCUUGUACACACCGCCCGUCAAGCCAUGGAAGCCGGGUGUACCUAAAGUCAGUAACCGCAAGGAGCUGCCUAGGGUAAAAUCGGUAACUGGGGCUAAGUCGUAACAAGGUACCC
Molecule: ribosomal RNA, 133 nt
Filed under: uncultured bacterium
Lineage: Bacteria
Description: partial 16S ribosomal RNA
Rfam family: Bacterial small subunit ribosomal RNA
Source: RNAcentral